CACUGCUCAGUAACACGUGGACAACCAGCCCUGAGGACUGGAAUAAUCCCGGGAAACUGGGGGUAAUUCCAGAUAUGUCAGAACUCCUGGAAUGGGUUCUGGCAGAAAGGCUCCGGCGCCUCAGGAUGGGUCUGCGGCCUAUCAGGGUAGUAGUGGGUGUAACGUACCUACUAGCCUACGACGGGUACGGGUUGUGAGAGCAAGAGCCCGGAGAUGGAUUCUGAGACAUGAAUCCAGGCCCUACGGGGUGCAGCAGGCGCGAAAACUUUACAAUGCGGGCAACCGCGAUAAGGGGACCUCGAGUGCUGGGUUACAAACCUGGCUGUUGGGCUGCCUAAAAAGCAGUCUAUAGCAAGGGCCGGGCAAGACCGGUGCCAGCCGCCGCGGUAACACCGGCGGCUCGAGUGGUAACCGCUAUUAUUGGGUCUAAAGGGUCUGUAGCCGGCCGACUAAGUCUCUUGGGAAAUCUGGCAUCUCAAGUGUCAGGCUGCCAGGGGAUACUGGUCGGCUUGGGACCGGGAGAGGUGAGAGGUACCUCGGGGGUAGGGGUGAAAUCUUGUAAUCCUCGAGGGACCACCAGUGGCGAAGGCGUCUCACCAG
RNAcentral lists this ribosomal RNA (600 nucleotides) under uncultured archaeon. Its description in RNAcentral is "bacterial SSU rRNA". It matches the Rfam family "Archaeal small subunit ribosomal RNA", at positions 83 to 683 of the family's 1478-position model. The record is from RNAcentral.